Molecule: long non-coding RNA, 359 nt
Organism: Ruditapes philippinarum (Manila clam)
Lineage: Eukaryota; Metazoa; Mollusca; Bivalvia; Venerida; Veneridae
Exons: 3
Source: RefSeq, a predicted model, not a curated record
AUAACAUAUUAAGAUAUGCGAUACUUAAACAGAAAAACUAGACGAUAAUCUUGCUGAAUUGGUGAAAUUUAUUCAUGUGUUGAUGCUAUGAUACAUUUUUGUUCAGUUAUAUAAUAUUUACUGUUAUUAAGGUCGAAAAGAGCUGCCAAUUAUCGUGAUACACAUGGAAAUGUCUCAGAUAUGGACAAGGUGCGUCGGUGGCGCGAAGGUCUGGCUUCGGAUACAUUCCCCAAAAGAUGGACACCGCGUAAUUGGAGGGACCUUUCCACAGGACCUGCGAUGUUUAGACAUGGCGAAAACGAAUCUGCCUACAGCCAGCCGUAUUAUGGAUCCCAUGCUAGACCAACAUACAGCACUAA